AGGCUGACACUAGGGACUAUUGUGGGUAUUUCUAAUACCAGGUUUUUGUCAUACUUUGUUAAUACCCACCCUGAAGGUCCAGCUACUUGGGAAAGUAUAAAGAAAUCAUCUACCUGAAGAGAGGGUUAGAGAAUAUAUGUUGAUGCAUCUUGAAGUAUUAUCGCCUUUGAGUUUGACUGAAGCGUUUGUUCAUCAGUAUAGUGAUAUAAAUGCCCACAAAUGGAACAAGGAAAGACUUGGUUCAAAGCGGAAAGAACAGAGAUCCUCCUGGAGUAUAUAGCUAAUGUUGAUGCACUACUAAACUCAAUGAAGUGGUUCUUCGUCUGGACUGAAAAGCUCAACAAAUUGUUAUCAACCUAUUGACCUGUGCUCUUUCGAUACCAUUUCUUCUGUGGCUACUGAGAGGAGGAAAGGUACACAUCAUGAUGCCAACUUGAAACACUUUCUUUGUUGAAAGAGACCAAAGAAACCAGCUAAUAACUAUUUACUGGGACAUACCUGCCACAGUUCUUGUCCAGGAUGCAUUAUUACAGGUUAUUUAGACAAUUUGGUUUUGUACUCUAUUAUUGUCCUCCAUUAGUCCAUGUCUUCCAACUAUGUAAUGAUAGCUAUGACAAGUGAUCAUGUCUCUCAUCUAUGCUUUAUGGUAUUCCUUGUUUUGAUUUAGUUUCAGGUAUCUGAAGAGUCUCUUGUAUAGUCUGAAACUGAAAGUAUAUACCAAAAUAUUAAAAUCAAAAGGUUGCAUACUUGCAUGUAGUUAGAAUGUUUUGGGUUAGUAAGUAAUUUUACUGUUGUAAGACUAACUACCCAUCCCUCUUUUAUUUAAACUGAACCUAAAGUAUCUAAACAACAACCAAAACAAAAAAAAAAACUUUUUUCAAAGAUAUCAAACCACAUUGAACUUAUACUACAGUUUCAUGUUGAGUUCUUCAGACCAUCUCUUAUAGAAGACGAAGAAGAAGGCGAGGAAGAAGCAGAAAGACAAGACCGUGCAAUCUUAGACUCUUUGUCUUUGCUAUACGCCUUUUGGACAUCAUCCUUAAGCUCUCUAUAUCUCAUUCUUUUCAAUCUUCUCUCCUGUGGAGAUCCCUUCUCAAUCUGUAGAUCAUCUAGAAUGUCGUCGUCUAUGUACUCCUCCAUGUACUUAUCUAGAACUCCAGAUCCAUAUGGAAAGUACCUACGACCGGUCUCAACUGCAUUGUGAAACGAGUAAUGAAGUCAGCCAAGAGAAAAGAACAAAAGAAGAGUGAAGAUUGACCGUUAGAUGUUUCCAAAGUGGUAGAUUUGUCUGCGGGGGUGAUGAGUCUUCUUUAAGACACUGGUCUCAGUCACCCACACGCGUUUUCGGGAACCGGGUUUCGCGAGCUAUGAAGAACGAAGCUCAAAAGGCUCUCUUUGAUUACUUGCAUCACACUAGAACUCUCAGCUUUGUCGAUGCAGAGCAUAUAAGUCACAACUCCCCUCGGUUCAUCUCCUCUUUGUUGUCCAAGGUGGAUACUAGGAAAGAGGAUAUAUCUCAGUCUUUGACUAAGUUUCUGAGGUACAAUCCCAUCAACGAGUUUGAACCCUUUUUCGAGAGUCUUGGUCUGCGUCCUUCUGAGAUCUCUCGGUUUCUCCAACGGGACCUUGUGCUUUUGAGUGAUGACAGUGUCCUCUUUGAGAAUUUUCAUGUUCUUUGCAACUAUGGGAUUCCUCGUAGCAAGAUUGGUUGUGUGUAUAAAGAAGCAAGAGAGGUUUUCGGAUACGAGAAUGGGAUUUUGUUGUCGAAACUUGAAGCUUAUGAGAGAUUGGGUCUUGGGAAGCCUAUAGUCAUUAAGGUUGUAACUUAUUGCCCCUCGCUUCUGGUCGGUGGUAUUGAUAGUGAGUUUGUUGCUGUGGUUGGUAAGUUAAAGGAUUUAGAUAUGGCAUGUGAUUGGCUUGGGAAGUAUUUGUCUGAUAGAAAAACAUAUAACUGGGGGAGUGUUCUUGAGACUAUGGAGCUUCUUGAGAAGAUGGGGUUCAAAGAGGAGAAGCUGAGUGGUCUUUUGAAAACAUAUCCAGAUUUGGUGGGUGAAACUUCUGGGAAGAAAGCUUAUGUUAUGUUUGAUAAGUUGCUUAAAGUGGGACUUCAGAUGAAUGAAAUCGAUAAGUUAGUGAGAGACCACCCAGAGAUGUUACUUGAGAAGUCUGCAAAAAGCAUUUUGGCGGCUUUGAAGUACAUGAUGCGUAUCAGAAUGGAAAAGGAGUUUAUCGUUAGUAUUUUACAGCAACACAUGAAGCUUAUCUGUUCAUCUUCUCUGCUAGGACCAAAGGCUGUUUGCAGUAAACUGAAGAUCAGAAGAGAAGAGUUACAUCGGAUCAUUAAGGAAGAGCCUUUGAAACUGUUCAGUUUAGCUUCUAAAACAACAAACAGAAGGAUCGAACUUGAUUCUUUAGAUUUUAGGAACGCUGAGAAGAGAGCCUUCUUGUUGAAGAUAGGAUAUGUAGAGAACUCCGAUGAGAUGGUGAGUGCUCUGAAGAAGUUCCAAGGGAGGGGAGAUGAGCUACAAGAGAGAUUUGAUUGCCUUGUGAAAGCUGGUUUGGAUUAUAAUGUGGUUACAGAGGUUGUUAAGAGGGCUCCUCAUAUACUCAGCAGACCUAAAGAUGUCAUUGAGAAGAAGAUCAACCUUCUAAAAGAUUAUUUAGGCUAUCCAGUGGAAUCUCUUGUAGAGUCACCUACGUAUUUGUGUUAUAGUAUGGAGAGAAUAAAUCAUAGAUUCUCAAUGUAUAUUUGGCUGAGGGAAAGAGAUGCAGUGGUGCCGAGGCUGACACUAGGGACUAUUGUGGGUAUUUCUAAUACCAGGUUUUUGUCAUACUUUGUUAAUUCCCACCCUGAAGGUCCAGCUACUUGGGAAAGUAUAAAGAAAUCAUCUACCUGAAGAGAGGGUUAGAGAAUAUAUGUUGAUGCAUCUUGAAGUAUUAUCGCCUUUGAGUUUGACUGAAGCGUUUGUUCAUCAGUAUAGUGAUAUAAAUGCCCACAAAUGGAACAAGGAAAGACUU
This 3018-nucleotide long non-coding RNA is filed under the name Brassica napus (rape). RNAcentral describes it as "long non-coding RNA (BNAP_LNC005650)". The record is from RNAcentral. Lineage: Eukaryota; Viridiplantae; Streptophyta; Magnoliopsida; Brassicales; Brassicaceae.